UAACGCGUGGGAAUCUGCCCUUAGGUACGGAAUAACUCAGGGAAACUUGAGCUAAUACCGUAUAAUGACUCCGGUCCAAAGAUUUAUCGCCUGAGGAUGAGCCCGCGUCGGAUUAGCUAGUUGGUGAGGUAAGAGCUCACCAAGGCGACGAUCCGUAGGUGGUCUGAGAGGAUGAUCAGCCCCACUGGGACUGAGACACGGCCCAGACUCCUACGGGAGGCAGCAGUGGGGAAUAUUGGCCAAUGGGCGAAAGCCUGAUCCAGCAAUGCCGCGUUGGUGAUGAAGGCCUUAGGGUUGU
This 298-nucleotide ribosomal RNA is filed under the name uncultured Sphingomonadaceae bacterium. RNAcentral describes it as "partial 16S ribosomal RNA". It matches the Rfam family "Bacterial small subunit ribosomal RNA", at positions 111 to 426 of the family's 1533-position model. Lineage: Bacteria; Pseudomonadati; Pseudomonadota; Alphaproteobacteria; Sphingomonadales; Sphingomonadaceae. The record is from RNAcentral.